AGAGUUUGAUCCUGGCUCAGGACGAACGCUGGCGGCGCGCCUAACACAUGCAAGUCGAACGAGCGAGAGAGAGCUUGCUUUCUCGAGCGAGUGGCGAACGGGUGAGUAACGCGUGAGGAACCUGCCUCAAAGAGGGGGCAACAGUUGGAAACGACUGCUAAUACCGCAUAAGCCCACGGGUCGGCAUCGACCAGAGGGAAAAGGAGCAAUCCGCUUUGAGAUGGCCUCGCGUCCGAUUAGCUAGUUGGUGAGGUAACGGCCCACCAAGGCGACGAUCGGUAGCCGGACUGAGAGGUUGAACGGCCACAUUGGGACUGAGACACGGCCCAGACUCCUACGGGAGGCAGCAGUGGGGAAUAUUGCACAAUGGGGGAAAUCCUGAUGCAGCGACGCCGCGUGGAGGAAGAAGGUCUUCGGAUUGUAAACUCCUGUUGUUGGGGAAGAUAAUGACGGUACCCAACAAGGAAGUGACGGCUAACUACGUGCCAGCAGCCGCGGUAAAACGUAGGUCACAAGCGUUGUCCGGAAUUACUGGGUGUAAAGGGAGCGCAGGCGGGAAGACAAGUUGGAAGUGAAAUCUAUGGGCUCAACCCAUAAACUGCUUUCAAAACUGUUUUUCUUGAGUAGUGCAGAGGUAGGCGGAAUUCCCGGUGUAGCGGUGGAAUGCGUAGAUAUCGGGAGGAACACCAGUGGCGAAGGCGGCCUACUGGGCACCAACUGACGCUGAGGCUCGAAAGUGUGGGUAGCAAACAGGAUUAGAUACCCUGGUAGUCCACACCGUAAACGAUGAUUACUAGGUGUUGGAGGAUUGACCCCUUCAGUGCCGCAGUUAACACAAUAAGUAAUCCACCUGGGAGUACGACCGCAAGGUUGAAACUCAAAGGAAUUGACGGGGGCCCGCACAAGCAGUGGAGUAUGUGGUUUAAUUCGACGCAACGCGAAGAACCUUACCAAGUCUUGACAUCCCUUGACAGACAUAGAAAUAUGUAUUCUCUUCGGAGCAAGGAGACAGGUGGUGCAUGGUUGUCGUCAGCUCGUGUCGUGAGAUGUUGGGUUAAGUCCCGCAACGAGCGCAACCCUUAUGGUCAGUUACUACGCAAGAGGACUCUGGCCAGACUGCCGUUGACAAAACGGAGGAAGGUGGGGAUGACGUCAAAUCAUCAUGCCCUUUAUGACUUGGGCUACACACGUACUACAAUGGCGUUAAACAAAGAGAAGCAAGACCGCGAGGUGGAGCAAAACUCAGAAACAACGUCCCAGUUCGGACUGCAGGCUGCAACUCGCCUGCACGAAGUCGGAAUUGCUAGUAAUCGUGGAUCAGCAUGCCACGGUGAAUACGUUCCCGGGCCUUGUACACACCGCCCGUCACACCAUGAGAGCCGGGGGGACCCGAAGUCGGUAGUC
This 1404-nucleotide ribosomal RNA is filed under the name metagenome. RNAcentral's name for it is "bacterial SSU rRNA". It matches the Rfam family "Bacterial small subunit ribosomal RNA". The record is from RNAcentral.